AACGAACGCUGGCGGCAGGCUUAACACAUGCAAGUCGAACGCACUCUUCGGAGUGAGUGGCAGACGGGUGAGUAACACGUGGGAAUCUACCUGAUGGUACGGAAUAACACAGGGAAACUUGUGCUAAUACCGUAUGUGCCCCUAGGGGGAAAGAUUUAUCGCCAUCAGAUGAGCCCGCGUCGGAUUAGCUAGUUGGUGGGGUAAUGGCCUACCAAGGCGACGAUCCGUAGCUGGUCUGAGAGGAUGAUCAGCCACACUGGGACUGAGACACGGCCCAGACUCCUACGGGAGGCAGCAGUGGGGAAUAUUGGACAAUGGGCGCAAGCCUGAUCCAGCCAUGCCGCGUGAGUGAUGAAGGCCUUAGGGUUGUAAAGCUCUUUCAGCUGGGAAGAUAAUGACGGUACCAGCAGAAGAAGCCCCGGCUAACUUCGUGCCAGCCGCCGCGGUAACAC
This 452-nucleotide ribosomal RNA is filed under the name uncultured bacterium. RNAcentral's name for it is "bacterial SSU rRNA". It matches the Rfam family "Bacterial small subunit ribosomal RNA", at positions 29 to 526 of the family's 1533-position model. The record is from RNAcentral.